ACUGAAGAGUGAAGAAGUGUUUGAAACUACUGCACAAUAACUGAUAAACUCGUCUAUAUCGAGCAUCAACAACAAUGAAAUUUGCUUUUGAAGUUCUGCUGUUGCUGAUUGUUUGUACAACAUUAUUAUCAGCAAAACCACACUAUGAAAUUGAGGAAGGACGUGAGAAUGAAAAGGACCAGAGAAGUGUUCAGAACGAUUGUAGAGAGACCGGGUGUCCAAUAGGAAAAUACUG
This is a long non-coding RNA of Dendronephthya gigantea, 235 nucleotides long. RefSeq lists it as uncharacterized. The record is from RefSeq and is a predicted model, not a curated record. Lineage: Eukaryota; Metazoa; Cnidaria; Anthozoa; Malacalcyonacea; Nephtheidae. The transcript has 3 exons.